GUAGUACGGCAAAGGUACACUUGAAAGUUGUAUAGUAAACAUGCGCCGUUAAAUAAUUGUCUUUUAUUUUGAACACUUUUUUCUUGUGUAGAAAAGCAAAAUAAAAAACAGUGCAAGAAGAGUUGGCGUGUGGGCUGCAAUCGCAAAAAGUCGGGCUUUUUCUGUAUUUAGCCCGUGAUUUAAGUGCGUGUGUUACGACUUAAAAGGACAAAAUACGUUUGUUACAAGUUAACGAAAAAAUACAAGUUUCUUCGACUAAUACACCGCGGCCAAACAAGCGUUUAGCUUUAUUUAGGUAUAAAAAUACUAUAUUGUGAUGGCGACGACAGCAUCAACAGUGGCACCAGCGACAGCACAAGCUACAAGUGUCGUAGUGCUGGAUCGCGGCAACAACACAACUUGUACUGUAAACUUACAUGGUG
Molecule: long non-coding RNA, 422 nt
Organism: Rhagoletis pomonella (apple maggot)
Lineage: Eukaryota; Metazoa; Arthropoda; Insecta; Diptera; Tephritidae
Exons: 2
Source: RefSeq, a predicted model, not a curated record